This 2088-nucleotide long non-coding RNA is filed under the name Pelobates cultripes (western spadefoot toad). Lineage: Eukaryota; Metazoa; Chordata; Amphibia; Anura; Pelobatidae. The record is from RNAcentral.
CGGGGCGGAGCAUCCCAUGCGGCGGGGGCGGAGCGAAACUGAUGGCAGGGGUGCGGCUAAAAGUGCUGGAUAACUGCUGCAAGGGAAGCAGGAAGGAGUCCCUGCUUCCCCAACAAACAGUUUCCAGGAGCUGCACUGCCUCCAAAACGAACAGCGGUAACUGUGUGUGUGUGUGUGUGUGUGUGUGUAUGACUUUCUGCCUGUGUGUGUGUAUGACUGUCUGUCUGUGUGUAUGACUGUCUGCCUGUGUGUGUGUGUCACUGUCUGUCUUUGUGUGUGUGUGCCUGUGUGUGUGACUGUCUGCCUGUGUGUGUAUGACUGCGUGUGUGUGUGUGUGUGUGACUGUCUGCUUGUGUGUCUGUGUGCAUAACUGUCUGCCUGUAUGUGUAUGACUGUCUGCCUGUGUGUGUGACUGUGUGUAUGAAAGUCUGCCUGUGUGUGCGUGUGUGUGACUGUGUAUAUGACUGUCUGCCUGUGUGUGUGUAUGACUGUCUGUGUAUGUGUGUGUGUGUGUGGCUUCCUGCCUGUGUGUGUGUGUGUGACUGUCUGCCUGUGUGUGUAUGUGUGUGUGUGUGUGCAUGACUGUCUGCCUGUGUGUGUUUGUGUGGCUGUCUGCCUGUGUGUGUGUGUGUGACUGCCUGCCUCUGUGUGUGUGGAUGUCUUCCUGUGUGUGUAUGGACAUCUGCCUCUGUGUGUGUGUGUGUGGCUGUCUGCCUGCAUGUAUGUGUGUGGCUGUGUGUGUGUGUGCAUGGCUGUCUGCUUGUGUGUGUGUCUGUGUGUGGGUAUGACUGUGUUUGUGUGUGUAUAUGGCUGUCUGCCUGUGUGUGUGUGUGUGUCACUGUCUGUCUUUGUGUGUGUGUCUGUGUGUAUGACUGUCUGACUGUGUGUAUAUGACUACCUGUGCGUGUGUGACUGUCUGCCUGUGUCUGUGUGUAUAACUGUCUGCCUGUGUGUGUGUGUGUGUGUGUGUGUAUAUGACUGUGUGUGUGUCUGUGUAUAUUACUGUCUGCCUGUGUGUGUGUGUGUAUGACUGUCUGCCUGUGUGUGACUGUCUGCCUGUGUGUGUGUGUGGUUGCCUGCCUGUGUGUGUGUGUUUGUGUGGCUGUCUGCCUGUGUGUGUGUGUGUGUAUGUGUGACUGCCUGCCUCUGUGUGUGUGGAUGUCUUCCUGUGUGUGUGUAUGGCCAUCUGCCUCUGUGUGUGUGUGUGUGCAUGUGUGGCUGUCUGCCUGCGUGUAUGUGUGUGGCUAUCUGUGUGUGUGUGUGUGUGGCUGUCUGCCUGCAUGUAUGUGUGUGGCUGUCUGUGUGUGGCUGUCAGCCUGUAUGUGUGUGUGUGUGUGUGUGUCUGUCUGCCUGUGUGUGUGUGUGUGUGUCUGUGUUUGUGUAUGACUGUCUGUGUCUGUAUGGCUGCCUGCGUGUGUCUGUGUGUGUGUUGGUAUGACUGUCUGCUGUGUGUGUGUGUGACUGUUUGCCUUUGUCUGUGUGUGUGUGUAUGACUGCCUGCCUCUGUGUGUGUGUGAGUGCCUGCCUGUGUGUGUGUAUGAUGGUCUGUCUGUGUGUGUGUGUCACUGUCUGUCUUUGUGUGUGUGUGUGUCUGUGUAUAUGACUGUCUGCCUGUGUGGGUAUGUGACUGCCUGUGUGUGUAUGACUGCCUGUGUGUGUGACUGUCUGUCUGUGUGUAUAACUGUCUGCCUGUGUGUGUGUGUGUAUGACUGUCUGACUGUGUGUGUUACUGUUUGUGUGUCUGCCUGUGUAUGUGUAUGACUGUCUGCCUGUGUGUAACUGUCUGCCUGUGUGUGUGUGUGUGGCUGCCUGCCUGUGUGUGUGUUUGUGUGGCUGUCUGCCUGUGUGUGUGACUGCCUGCCUCUGUGUGUGUGGAUGUCUUCCUGUGUGUGUAUGGCCAUCUGCCUCUGUGUGUGUGUGUGUGGCUGUCUGCCUGUGUGUGGCUAUCUGUGCGUGUGUGGCUGUCUGCCUGCAUGUAUGUGUGUGGCUAUCUGUGUGUGUGUGUGUGUGUGUAUGGCUGUCUGCUUGUGUGUGUGUCUGUGUGUGGGUAUGACUGUGUCUGUGUGUGUGUAUGGCUGUCUGCCUGUG